Grus americana (Whooping crane) is the source of this 2977-nucleotide long non-coding RNA. RefSeq lists it as uncharacterized. The record is from RefSeq and is a predicted model, not a curated record. NCBI's taxonomy places the organism in Eukaryota, Metazoa, Chordata, Aves, Gruiformes, Gruidae. The transcript is spliced from 3 exons.
UCUCUGUGAAGCUGCUCAGGGCGGCAGGGAGGGAGCCCGUGGCACGCUGCCAACCCUCCCCUUGACCCUGAUGAGAACGAAGCUGGCAAGGAACAACCGCUCCCUUUGUCGUGCCUCUUCUGAACCGCCAUUCAGCCAGGGAAACAAUGCUUAAACUGUGCUCGGUUUGCUUUGUAACUUCUUUCCUGCCACGCGAUGCUCGCACCAAAACCCGGGUGCCCGUGCGAGGGGAUGCAGGCGGGUGGGCGAGCCAGGCAGGCCAUUGCACACCACUGUCACGCUUAGAAACUCCGUGACCACACCUGAGGGAAGAGAAAUCAAGAUAACGUGUGCUGAGCUGCUUUGCCGGAGAGAAUUACGUCCAGUGUUUGUCAGUGCGAUUUGUCAUCUGAGGAUCCCCGUGGAUCCAGCGCAGCUCCUGGUGUCUUGGAUGUCAGCCGCAGCAUGGAAAAUCCUCUUUCGUCGGUCGUGUCUGAUUCCAGAUGAAAACUCAUUAAAGGUAACUGCUUCCACCACUGCCUGCUGUCGCCGGGGCACUCACCUGUCAGUCACAUCCUGUUACCGCAGGCAAGGGAUAAUUUGUACCAAAGCGCAGGAUCAAAAGAAAUAGUUUAAAAAUAGCUAAUUUUAUAGCCCUUUGUGUCCGGUGCAGCCUGACCCCCCGUGCCUUGCCGCCCGUCGCUGAUGGCAGCGGUACCCGCCACAUCUCUGCGUGCUGCCUGCUCCGGGAGACAGCCCUGCCCGACGAGGAAUCCCAAAUCCUUUCCCUGCUGCCACCAGGACGUUGCCACAGAUUUCCAUCGAUUUGGAAGUCCAGCGUGCUGACGAGCCAGGUUGCCCAGCCCCGUUCUACUCAUCUUCCACACAUGCCUGGGUACGUCGUUGACCUCCAGUUUAAUCUCGCUGUGCCACCAGCAUCCCGUCUGCAGAAGGGGUGCAGUAACGCCACUUCAACCAUCCUGCUUUAGCCGAAUCUCAAAUCGCUUUGGAAAAAAGACAGAGAAGUUUUCCUGGGAAGUGGGAAAAUAUUUUUAUUUCAGAAACAAGAUCACUAAAGAUGCCGCAGAGAGUCAGCGGUGGUCGGGGUUGGGGCAUUGCUGCUGGCUCCCUUGCUGAAACCGUCAGACAACAUCACUCUGUCCAGGGGAGGAGUCGUGGCCCUGAACCCUGUUCUCACCACUCACCCCCACACUGUCUUGCUCAGUGCCCACCUCUUCUUCCUCCUGUCUUCUUUUGUAUUACACUCGCUCUCUACUUGUCUAAGUUUGUAUGAAUCAUCAUUUCACAUUGAGCCUGAGCUGCCCAUAACCCUGGCUGCUUUGUUUUCUCUGCUGCGUUACAGGGUCAGCUCCAUCCUGACCCACAGCAUGAAAGAAAAUCUGCUUUGGAAACAGCAAAGCCAACAAGUCUUCUUUUGUUACUCCUGUUUCUGGCUGCUGCUGAGCAAAUGUGACACCCUUCCAAAAAUCUGCAUCCCAAAGGAUGCUUGGGAGCCCAAGCGAAGCUCCGAAACACUUCAUUUUGGAAAGGAAAUCUCUCCACCAGCUCUGGAGGAAGUACGUAACGUGAGGGUUGACCGCUGUCAAAUGUCAGUCCCGGCUGAUGGGAGGCUGAAUAAAUGGCUCAGCUGGUGUCACACAUCUGUUGAGGUGGUCGGUAUCCACUGGUGGGAUAACCCAAUUUUUAAGGCUUUGAAACUUAUUUUUCAUUCUGGUUCCUUGACAGAGAAAAGUGGUCUGGCAGAAGUGAGGUGGGCAGCAAGGUGAUAAGGUCCUUCAGCUGCAGCUGUCUCACAAGCCCUCAGGACUGGUCACAGGCUAUCAUCAGCGUCCUCUUUAUUUUGGCUAGGUUUACGGGCCACCCCUCAUUAAGCUUUGAUUUUGACACCUGUAAUAAAUGAGCCACAUUCAGCCUUUUGGAAGCCUAGAGAAGCUCCCAGAGCAGCAGCAGAGAUUAAAUUUGAUCCAGUAUGUUACAAGGAGAAGCUGAAAAGUGUGUUUGUCCCUUAAAAGACAAAAAAAUACCAUUUGGGGAGCCUUUCUGUUUCAUAAGCAAGUGGGCGACAGGGGUCAGAGAGCUCCUGGCACCCGUGGAUUAUUUUGGCCUUCAGCUUGAUGUUGGUUGUUAAAAAUAUUUUCCCAGAUGUAUUAAUACGACCAGACUGGAUUGCAUCUGAGCUGAACAUUGUGAGCCUAAGGCAGGACAUAAAUAUAGAAGCAAAACAGCCUGACAUAGGAGUCAUCUGUCCUCUUCUACACAAGAAGUGAAGGGGAAAGAGGGGGAACUUAUUCUGUUACAAUUUUUAGGUGCUUCCAGGCAUUAGCCCGAGCCUCAGGGAGUGCCUGCGCUGGGGUCCUGGGGCACAGAAGACCCCACAUAUCCCUCACUCGGCCCCUAGCAUGCUGUGCCACAGGACUGCGUGCUCAGCACAUUUUUAACCCGGGGUUAGAUUUGCCUAGACAAGGUUUGCAGUCGGGAAUGACUAUUUGUUUGAUGUGCUUGCCUAACAGGAUUACCCUUAUCAGAAUGAUACAGCAACCUGGCCUUGGCAGAGCAAACCCCAAGGGCUCGAGGGGUCAAACCCUCGCCUCCCUUGCCCCAAAUAUGCACAGCGUAGCUUGUGUCUUACCAUGCAAUAUCCAGCCGGUGCUUCGGUUGGCGUUCAGUGCUCCACUUUUGGAAACAGCAGUUGUGCCAUGUACCGCUGCCUGCUGACAUCACGCCUGGCAUUUCUCUCUCCACACCUGAAAAAAAGAAGAAAUCAAUAAUAUUCAAAGGUUAGAAAACUGAUGCAGUGCUUUACAAUUAGAGAAUGGUAUGCCUUCCCCAUUGGGAAUUGCUCUGAGCAAGUGCCUGAUUGAAUUCAGUGUGAAUUUGUUGCCCUCUGGCUCCCUGAGAAGAGGUAGUGAACCAAUGAGUUGCCUGAUUUUGUAUUGUAUAUUGUGAACAUGCCUAAAAUUGCUAUAAAAGCAUCUGU